UAUAAGGAAAAGAUGUUGCGAUAUUUAAACACAUAGUGCGAGAAUAGAAACGAUGUCCUAAUUUGGGAGCCUCGUUGUGCCCGAGGUAGGCCUAGCGACAAAUUGAUUUGGAGAACUUAUAAUGCUAAAUGCCUUAUUUUAUUGAUAAAAAGCAGACGAAUCCUAAAACGACACUAAAUAACAAGGAAUAAAAUGUCACUAGUGGCCAUUGGCCUUAUUACAUUUCAUAAAGUAAAAGAAAACUCCUAUCUAUUUGGUCCCAAAAGGACCUUCCUCAGGUUGAAUGCUCUCGUUAAUCAAAUCCUCCAGCUCGCAUAGGUUCACCAGUAGAAAUGCCUUUUCCAUGUGUUCUCCUUCGUUUCCUUCAGCGUUCUGGCAGUCGGUGACUCUCUUGCUCACUUUCCCUUCCAAUUCCAGCAGACUGUACUCCAGAUAUUCCAACUUUUCGCUAGCUUUGGCAGCCCUCUCUUUACACUCGUGGUUUUGGUCAUUUGAUGGAAGACUCCUCCACCAGUCCAGCAAGAGUGAGGGUGUUCUAACCAUACCGAAGUUGGGGACCUCGUGCCUCAUGUUUCUGCAAGAUAAAAGGGUUAGGCCCUUACCCCCACCGGACUCGACUAUUUAACUAUCAAUAAUUGGCAUAAGCAGAAUUUAUUUCUCCAAAUAAAUGCACAAAACGUGGUAAUGUCUGUUUGGGUUCCAAGGAAACCCAGUGGACUUUGGACAAGACUAUCUUAAAGAGUCAUUAUCUGGACAACAUAACUGACUCAGCUAGGUUUUGACAGUGAUGCAUGCACAAUUAAACAGAGUAGGGUUUCUAUGGGGUAUUAGAUUGGUACCCUUAAGCGGACAACUCAAGAGGGAAAGGCACGGAACCGUCGACUACACCGUUGAUUGACUGGUUUUACCGCAAAUAUGCCUUUGCCAAAUUUAGGGGGUAAUAAUAUCGGAAGGGCGCAACCACUUAUUAUAAGCGUUGUUAUGGUAUUUUGUUUGGCACGAGUGGAAUAUGAUGUUGAAUAUGCAGUUAUAAUAAUUAAACAAAUUGUCAUAUAUUUGAAUAUUCAUAAGGUAAUAAUUACAAUAAUUGCUCAAAUUACAACAGUAUUAAAGGAAAGCAUUAAGGGAAAUAAAGAGAAGAAACGAACAGCCAAGUCAGUUUUCGAAGUAGGAGAGCCAAAUAAAUACUUAAAGGCAUUAAAGACAUUCAAGGAAGCAAAAAGUCACAAAUAGUAUGAAAUGGUAAAAGCCUUAAAGAAAUCCCCAGCAGAGUCGCCACGCUGUCGUGCCCCCUUUUUCUCGCGAAAUCGGGGUUAUGACAUUUGGGAGGACAACUCAUUCCCUUUUGGGAAUUGGGUUUUUUGAUUUGAAUAGUCUCCACCUAAUUAUUAAGUGCAUUAGGACACUAGGAAGAAUUUGUUUAGAAAAACCAGAGUUUGGGUAAGGGCUAGAAAUUAUCUCGGGGGGAAGGUGUUAGGCACCCAUCAAGAUCCACUAGUGUGGUUCCCGGCCAUGCUACAAUUGUGACUUGAGUACAAAAAAUAAAUAAGAAAUUAAGGGUUUCAAAUAUGAGGGGUUGUCACAUUGUGAUUGCAAAUAAGUUAAAGCUUGAAGAAACAAGGAAGUUGAAAUUUGAGAAAAAGGAGUUUGAAAUUUUGAAAGUAAUAAAAUAAACAAGUAAAGGGAAGGGGGGUCCUAGGCUUAUAAAUAAUAUGGAUCACAUCAAUGCAAUACCCGGUAAUCACUCCUCAGAAGAGGGGUUACACGUGGUAUUAGCGCACUGGUCAUCAUAUCCAUAUCUACCCUUUCUCACCUCGUUGAGGUAUUUAAAUGCAGAAUGGUUUCGUUACUUAUUACAUGCUAGUACCCGCCCCAAUCCUAUCUGUCCCGGAGGCAUUCAGAACUACUAGUCCUAAAGGGAAGGGAAAUGUGGGUUUUGUGUGGUUUAAAAGGAUAAAAUUCUAAAGCGACAAACAAAAACACAUAAGGCAGAUUAUGGGAAACACAUAACAAUUUAAAAGGCUCAGAUGGGCCUCCUCACUUAAAGACAGAUUGUUUAGCAUAUCUUGCAGAUACAGUUUAUGGUCUAAAUUAAACUUAAACAAUAAGGAGGCAUACUAGUCUAUUACACAUUUCAAAUAAGAAACCGAAAUUAGACCUGCCUACUGGUUGGAAUUAACAUAGUCUGAUUCAAUUAGCUAAUUUUACCUUAUAGCUUGCCUAAGUGAAACCUACAGGCAUGACAUCUACUAAUACAGAAGUGUAUUGAUUUUUACAAGAAGAAGGCCUGUUGAUUAUAGAAAACAUAAGUUCUACAGGCAUUGAGUAACGUUACUACUGAUUUUAGACUUGUAAACGAUUCAGAUCAGUUGGUUACUCCUAUAGACAUGCGUUCUAAGAGUUAUUAAGUUUAACCUUUACGAAAAUGCAAAAAUCCUAUAGGCAUGGUGUUUAAAACUUUGAUUUUUAUUAUUUAAUCCUAUAAAUGUGUUUGCCUAGUGAGAGAUGCAUAUACAGAAUUCAGGAAACUCUAUAGACAUGUUCUCUAUGUGAUAGGCAGAAACGCAAAAACCUAUAGACAUGGUCUCUAUGUAUGAAAUGCAGAAGCUAUAGACAUGGUAUCUAUGUAUGAAAUGUAGAGGCUAUAGACAUGGUAUCUACGUAUGAAAUGCAGAACCUAUAGACAGGAUUUCUAUAUGAAAUGCAGAACCUGUAGGCAUGGUUUCUAAAUGAAAAAUGCAGAAGUGCAGGACUUUGUAAACAUGAUUUCUACAUGAAAAAUUCAGAAGUGAAAACAGGACAUGAUUGCAAUAGUAAAUACCUAUAAACAUGAUAUCUACCCUUGUGCAUACAUGAGUGACCCUCCCCUUUUCACUAAAACCCCAUAAGUUAUUACAAAUUAUUACUGCCCAGAAUGAAUAAAGAAAAGUAAAAUAAAAUUACAUCAGAAAGCUAAAAAAUCCUAACCAAGGAGAACCUGAUUCAGACUUUUGUCUGAAGCAUAAAGUAAACCAACUCCAAAGAUCAAAUUCCAAAGCCUUUCUCCUAUUCGGGAUGUUUCAGAGUUCCCUAAGAGUCUCAAGUGGACUCCGGGCAGUACUUACACCCAAAUAUAUUGCAGAAUUGGAUUAUAGUGUAGUGUGGAAGGGCCAUCCCUCAAAUGUCCAAGUUCAGAUAGAGCUCAAGGUCCCAAAGCAAGGCUCAUAGGAGGGGGGCAGAACAUAGAAUCUAAGAGAGAGAGCUAGUGCAUAGAAGGGAUUUUGGGGAAAGCCAAGACAGGUUGGUGGUCAUAACCAGCAAUUGGAAGUGCUAGCACACCCCAACUAGCCUGUUAGCCACAUUGUUUGGGAGUUAGGAUCCAUUAAAGGAUCAAGUCCAGACAUGAGCAACAAUUUGGAUGUUGCCAUGCUUUGAACUUUAACUCAAACACAUAGAAGGGAAUAAGGGUAUGGGGAAUUCACAUAGCAACAAAUGNNNNNNNNNNNNNNNNNNNNNNNNNNNNNNNNNNNNNNNNNNNNNNNNNNNNNNNNNNNNNNNNNNNNNNNNNNNNNNNNNNNNNNNNNNNNNNNNNNNNNNNNNNNNNNNNNNNNNNNNNNNNNNNNNNNNNNNNNNNNNNNNNNNNNNNNNNNNNNNNNNNNNNNNNNNNNNNNNNNNNNNNNNNNNNNNNNNNNNNNNNNNNNNNNNNNNNNNNNNNNNNNNNNNNNNNNNNNNNNNNNNNNNNNNNNNNNNNNNNNNNNNNNNNNNNNNNNNNNNNNNNNNNNNNNNNNNNNNNNNNNNNNNNNNNNNNGUUAAAUUAGAACAUACCAGUUUCAGGAAAAUAAGAAGAGAAGAGCAGUAGUAGCCAAAUUGCAAACACAUAGCCAGAAGAUUUCAGAAGAGAGUAGAGUGUUGAAUUGAGAAUGUAGGAGUAUUGAAAUUGGAAGUGUUCAAUAAGUGUUGUCGAAGUAUUGAACUCAAGGUCUUAAAGAGUAUUGAAUUGGAAGUGUGUAAAAGUGCAGAAGGGUCGUGCCCUUUAUAGUGCAGAAAGCAAGUAAGAAAAGGUAAGAAAAUAGUUUUGAAAUCAAUCACAUAAGGUCUCCCUUCAAUUAAGGGAUUCUGAUUUCAAACGGGCAAGAUAAUUAAGGAAAAGUUUUGAUCAAACUCUUUCCAAAGUAGCACAAGAAGGGUAAAUACACAGAAGUUAUUUAAGGCAAAAGUCCAGUGGUACAUGGUUUGUGCAAAUAAGGAAAGGCGAUCACUCAACAGCCAGUAAAAUCAAAAUUGCAGGCUUUGUUCGAAUGAACCAAGUCAGGAAAAAUGAGGAAAGGGUUUUACUUAAGAAAAAUCAGUAACAAUCAAUCAAACCUUAUUAAGAAGAAUUCCGAAUCAAUCACAAGUUGGCAAAACCUUUUGAAGGUAAAAUUGCUCAUAUAUAAAGCAUACAGACAUAUCGAAUAAGAAAGAACUAUCAUGCGAAAAAGCCUAGUAUAGAAGAGUUCCGGGUCAUAACAAAGAGGCUCAAAUCCAGUAAAUAGACUUAGAAUGAGUUUUAGAGUGUUCAGGGUCCCAAAUAGAACCCUAGCCCAAAACACAAGAUCAAACUCGCCAAAAAAAUGCCAAAUCCCAGGGUUUUCAACUCGAGUCAGAUACAGAAAAGAGAAGACAAAUAACUAAAACAGGCUCAGAGGUCUCUUUCAAGGAUUCAUGUGAAAACAAGCAGAUAAAAUAGCAGGUUCAAGGCAAAUAGAAUGAAGAACUGAUUUGAAGCAAAAAGAACACCUUUUAAGAAAGCUUGGAACUUAAAUAAGUUUUAGAAGAGAAACGAGAUAGUAUAGCACUUAAGAGAACAACAGAGGAAACAUGUUUAACAAAGACUCAAACAAAAUCCAUAAGAAGGCAACUAAAGACCUAAAAGCUUAUUAGAAAAUACAGUAGAGGAACAUAGGGGUAAACGAACACAUAAGAUAAACAUGUGAAAGCAUGAUAUAGAAACCAGUAGAUGAAAGAACGGAGCACAAUAGAAGGACAUGCAAAAUAAGGUAAACAUAAGAACAUAUAAGAAGGACAUGCGAGGUAGAAAAGAGAACAUAAAAACAUAGCAUAGACAGAUUCACACAAAGAGAAGAAGAAGAGGAGUCAGAAAACAUUUUAAAACCUUUUCAAAGACUCUAAAUCAAAGAGAAGUAAUUUUUGAAAGAAAAUUUGGGAAAAUGUUUAAGAACUCAAGUAGAGCACAGACAUAGCAUAGAUAUAAGAAAACAACCAGAGAAAAACCUCGAAUAGUUUAGGGUUUUAGAGAAACCUUAGAAAUGAGAAAGUCUUGGAAGAAGGUCCGAUCUUGAGUCGGAGAGGUCAGACAUAGGCUUCUGAUAUUUGAAUACGCCGGAGCCAGGCCGGAGAGGCCAUAAAACCUUGGAUCUGUAGAGAUCUGAAAGGACACCAUCGAGGUCGGACCUCGAAACUUCGAACACCCAGGGUUUAUUGGUGGAGGAGGGUGAGUACAAGCCAUUCAUGGCCUGUGAUGCCAUGGGUUCCGGUGAGAUUGCGGUUGAAGGGGGGUGAGAGAGGCUAGGGUUUCUGGAACCUUUGAGAGAGUUUGAGAGAGGGAGAGUAUUCAAAGGCAGCUGAGAGAUGGAAAUGAGGGGAUCAGGGUAGGGUUAGUGAAUUAAAAAAGGUAAGGGGUAAUCGUGGUCGUUGAUCUAAAUGAUCAACGGCCUGGAUUGAAAGAAAGGGUCGGGCGGGCUAAUUUAUUGGGUCGGGAGUCGGGUUAGAUUAGAAUUGGGCCGGUCCAAUUGCGUUUCAAAAUUGGGUCAAUUAGGGGGGGUCAAUUUGGCUAUGAUUGAAAUAAAAAUGGGCCACAUUUUAAAUAACCAGUUUUUUCCUUUUUAUUUUAUAAAAAAUAGUAAAACAAUUUUGAAAGUAAAUUAAGAGUAUUGGAUCAGUUAAUAAUAUAUAAAUAUUGAUUUAAAAAUGUUGGAACCAAUUUUAUAAUUAUAAAAAUGCUAUUAAAUCUAAAAGUAGGCAAGAAUUGUAAUUAUAUNNNNNNNNNNNNNNNNNNNNNNNNNNNNNNNNNNNNNNNNNNNNNNNNNNNNNNNNNNNNNNNNNNNNNNNNNNNNNNNNNNNNNNNNNNNNNNNNNNNNNNNNNNNNNNNNNNNNNNNNNNNNNNNNNNNNNNNNNNNCUGUGUGGCAAAUUAUGACUCAUGACGAGGCUGUCCUUGACCAUUGGCCCAUGCUUGACACAUUUCGAUCAUUUGCUAUUUUAGUAUUCUAUUUUUCUCAAACACAGUAGACUCUUGUUGAACCCCCUAACCCUGAGUCUCUUGAGCAUUUGUAACAGAUUCGAUGUGAGUUAUCAUUUUUCCUUGGAUCUUGUGUUUCCAGCUUACCACAAACCGACCACCUCAACUUUCUUCACAAUUCAAAACAAAAUAUGUAGAAUGGACUUAGUCGGUCCUUAUUAUUAUCAAUAUUUUUCAUUUUUUUCAUUUAUUUUUUAUUUCUUUUUAAUGGUGAUCGAACCUGAUGUGGGUUGCCUACGUAUCAUGUGGGAACAUGAAUCAGAUCUUGCGUAGUACAGGAAGAUCAUGAAUAAAGUAAAUAAACUAACUUUUUUUUAAAAUUUUUAAUUUUAUUUUUUCGAAAGAAAGACUUAUAAAGAAGAAAAGGAAUAUUUUUGGAUUUUGAUUUCUCUUCAGCAUUUUUGCAAAGAAAGACUUCUAAAGAAGAAAAAAAAAUUAAUUUUUUUUCUGGAAUUUCGAAAGAAAAACUUCUAAAGAAUAAAGAAAAUAUUUUUGGAAUUUUAUUUUGAAUUUAUGAAAGAAGUGCUUCUAAAAAAAGAAACAAUUUUUGAAUUUUGAAUUUUCUUUUCAAUUUUGAAAGAAGAAUGAAAAUAUUUUUGGAUUUUUGGAAGAAAUUAAAAGAAAAUAUUUUAGUCUAUUUUUUUUAAAAAAAACAAUUAGGGUCUAAAAGAAAGGCUUUCUAAAGAAGCAAGUAAUGGAAAAUAUUUUUGGAUUUUUUGAAAAUUGAGGUCUUAAAAAAUGACUUUUCUAGAGAGGAGGUAAAGAAAAUAUUUUUGGAUUUUUCGAAAAUUAUAGGCCGGAACCGAUGAGGUUUGCCUAAGUAUCUCACAUCCGGUGAGAAUCAGACCCGCGUAGUUCGCCAGUUUUGAUGGAACAAAAGCAAAUAUGACUUAUUUUGAAAUGACUUUUAUUUUUUUUCAAAAUUUCAACAAAGUUUCAGGGUAAUUCAAAUACCUACCUCUCACUCUCUUUUCUUUUCUCUUUUUUUUUCUGAUUUUUAUUUUUUUUCAUUUUCUUUCCCUAUUCUAGAAGCCAGCCAGCAUGCAAGCCAAAAUAGAUAGAUACGCAAGUAGCACGUAAGAUGUAUCAGGAUGAUAUUUUAAUUUUGGCGCACCUGUCCUAGACGGACCCAACCCCUAUGUUGAGUCCCUAAAGUCAAAUGCACAUGAUACAAACAAACAUUCCUACUAGGGAUCCGGCAUGAAGCUGAGUUAUUCUAAGCUAAAAACCUGGGAUAUUGUUCAAGACUUGUGUACCCGAGUGGACAACUCGAGCCGAGGAAGGGGCUACGUACUGGGAACCAAAAGGCCAUCCGGCUUUGUAACUUGUCUGAGUCUCUUUCUUAUUUCAAGGUAUGACACUAACAGAAGGAGGAGUCACGCCAGCGUGCACAUCCCCGAAGAUGAGAAGAGAAGGGUUUCGUAACAGUUUAUAUACAGUUCAAAUAAUAUCAAAGCGGUGAAAAGCGGCAUUUAGCACAUUAAGCUCAAACAUGCAAUAAAAUCAGAUAAUAAAUAAAGCCAAUUAUAACAAUUAUUCUAAGCUCGAAUUCUUGAACCCUGAACCAGAAGUUCUGGGUUCUUAUCCCCAGCAGAGUCGCCAGAGCUGUCACACCUCCUUUUUUCCUACACCCCAGAAGGGGCAUAAGGGAGUUUUUUUCCAACUUAAAGUGACAAUCGAAACGGGAUUAUUUAUUUAUUAAAUUCAGAGUCGCCACUUGGGAUAAUUUUUUGGUGUCCCAAGUUACCGGUUCAAAUUCCGAAUCGAGGAAAAGAUUGACUCUGUUUUACAGUCCGCGAACACAAAAAUUUGGGUAAGGAAUUCUGUUAACCCGAGAGAAUGUAUUAGGCAUUCCCGGGUACCGUGGUUCUAGCACAGUAGCUCAACUGUUAUAAUUGGCCUAUUAUCUAAUUUUAGAACAUGUUUUAACCUAUGGUACAAUUUUAAUUUUAUAACCGCUUUUACUUAAUUAUUUUUUAGGAGAAAGAUUCAAUGUCAUAUAAAACAUAUCUUGAACCACGUCACAUAAAUGCUCCCGCGGUCCAUGACACAUUUUGUCUAAAGUUGUUUGAGAUUUGGAUUUGGGUCACAUAAAUGCACACCCGAAUUGAGAUUUACAUAUCGUAACCAUGCUACGGGAACCGUACCCAUGGCCACGAUAAUUUAUUAUUGAUCGCGUCUAAAGCAAGCUACGAUGUUUGUGAGUCAUUUCCUGCACAUUGUAUGGGAUGAUUGGAAACAGUGGUAGAUCAUGGAAUUCGUAUGAUGCCUUAACUUGACAAAGAAUUAAAAGUUCUACCUUUCGUUUUCAAAAAAGAAUCGAAGGUUAUUAAUAGUCAAGUUACAAACAUACAUGUCAUUUGGGAUUAAGCCUCAUAUAAGGCCUAAUAUAACAAAAGUAAGUCAAUUCAAAAUGAAUUCAACUACAUCAAUUUUCUAGACCUCAUGCUCAUUACAAAUUUAUAAUUGAUCGUCAAAGUUGGCCGAUUAAGAAAUAGGCCCAAAUCAGUACGAGAAUCCGAGUAAAAUAGGUCAUAUUUAACCACUUCAACAAAUUGACCCGAUACACAAAAUGAACCAAUUUUUUGCAAUGAACUAGAGAUAAUGGAGCUUGCACAAGUCGAUGAAAUUAAUUCUAUAAUCCCGUUCAUUUACCCUAUAUAUUAAGGUAAUAAUGGAGAGACCAAGAAUCAAACACUUUCUUCAAAAAAAUAAAACCAAUUUCUCAUAGUAAACUUGUGGAACCAAAGCAGCAAACACGGAUAUAGUUCAAACUAUUCAUUUUGAUAUGAUAAUUCAGAAAUAAAGAGCAUAAGUGCAUCAGCAAGAGAAAUCAAACAAACAAUACCAACAUUCAUGACAUAAAAUCUAGAGGUCGAAAAAAGAAUAAAGUUUGAAGUGUGACCUUUUAAAUGAAUGACGGCUUCAAUAUAUUAACAUGUUGACUCAUAUUACAAUGAAGAAGGCGACGACCGAAUCGAGCGAAGUUCAACAGUCCAGAAACGAGCCAAUCCACCAAAUUCAGCAAUUUCAACAGCCCAAACAACUAAGAAAAAUCCCAGAAAAAGAAGGGAAAAAAAGCACAGUGGUUGAAUAAAACCCGAACAUGCCAGAUUCUUCUUUUAUUUUUAUAAUUUCUCUUCUGGUUUUGAGAAAAGGUCUUUGUUUAUGUUGUCGAGCCCUCAAAUCAGAGAUCGAAUCUGGAUUUUGGUAUGAGAAAAUGAGAAGAAAAUGAGCUCCGAAAUGGGCUUGAACCAGCGAACCUCUAGUAGUAAAUUCAAGCCACCCUCAAACUCAAUCAAUCUCUUAGUUUGUAUUUUUUCUUCUGUUUUUCAUCUCUGUGUCAUGUGUUUGGGAAGAUUAAGAAGAAAACAGAAAGAGGGCGCUGGAGGGGUUCGACCUUUCUUUUUAUUUAUGGGAACAAAGAAAAAGAAAUCAGCAGUAGUGCUGCUUCUUUAGAGAAAGAGGAAAAGGAUUAGGGAUCUGGUUCUUCGAUGAAGUUAUGUUCUUCAUUUUGGUUUUUCAAGAGGAUGAAGAACAGAGGAAAAGGAUCCGCCAUUUUUGUUCUAGGUCUAAGGGUGGGGAAAUCUGAUGGGUAAACUCUUUAGGGUUGGGAUUUAAUGAGAGGGGAAUGGGUUAUUGGGCCAGGCGGGUCGGGUUGGUUUUCGGGCCUUGGUGGUUUGGACGGGUUUGGGUAAUUUUUAGGCUAG
This 9988-nucleotide long non-coding RNA is filed under the name Nicotiana tabacum (common tobacco). Its description in RNAcentral is "long non-coding RNA (NTAB_LNC011522)". The record is from RNAcentral. Lineage: Eukaryota; Viridiplantae; Streptophyta; Magnoliopsida; Solanales; Solanaceae.